This 68-nucleotide transfer RNA is filed under the name Marmota monax (woodchuck). RNAcentral's name for it is "tRNA.Ala". Lineage: Eukaryota; Metazoa; Chordata; Mammalia; Rodentia; Sciuridae. The record is from RNAcentral.
GGGGUUGUGGCUCAGCAGUAGAGCCCUCGCCUAGCACGUGUGGGCACUAGGUUCGAUCCCCAACACCA